This 468-nucleotide ribosomal RNA is filed under the name uncultured bacterium. RNAcentral describes it as "partial 16S ribosomal RNA". It matches the Rfam family "Bacterial small subunit ribosomal RNA", at positions 28 to 507 of the family's 1533-position model. The record is from RNAcentral.
GACGAACGCUGGCGGCGUGCUUAACACAUGCAAGUCGAACGGAAAGGCCCUGCUUUUGUGGGGUGCUCGAGUGGCGAACGGGUGAGUAACACGUGAGUAACCUGCCCUUGACUUUGGGAUAACUUCAGGAAACUGGGGCUAAUACCGGAUAGGAGCUCCUGCUGCAUGGUGGGGGUUGGAAAGUUUCGGCGGUUGGGGAUGGACUCGCGGCUUAUCAGCUUGUUGGUGGGGUAGUGGCUUACCAAGGCUUUGACGGGUAGCCGGCCUGAGAGGGUGACCGGCCACAUAGGCACUGAGAUAGGGGCCGUACUCAUACGUGAGGCAGGAGUGAGAAAUAUUGCACGCUAGGCGGAAGGCUGAUGGAGCAACGCCGCGUGCGAGAUGACGGUUUGCGGGUUGUAAACCGCGUUCGCCUGUGACGAAGAGUGAGUGACGGUAAUGGGUAAAGAAGCACCGGCUAACUACGUG